This 406-nucleotide ribosomal RNA is filed under the name uncultured bacterium. RNAcentral's name for it is "partial 16S ribosomal RNA". It matches the Rfam family "Bacterial small subunit ribosomal RNA", at positions 30 to 526 of the family's 1533-position model. The record is from RNAcentral.
AUUGAACGCUGGCGGCAGGCCUAACACAUGCAAGUCGAACGAGUGGCGGACGGGUGAGUAAUGUCUGGGAAACUCCCUGAUGGAGGGGGAUCACUACUGGAAACGAUAUCUAAUACCGCAUACCAUCAGAUGUGCCCACAUGGGAUUAGCUUGUUGGUGGGGUAACGGCUCACCAAGGCGAAGAUCCCUAGCUGGUCUGAGAGGAUGACCCGACACACUGGAACUGAGACACGGGCCAGACUCCUACGGGAGGCAGCAGUGGGGAAUAGUGCACAAUGGGCGCAAGCCUGAUGCAGCCAUGCCGCGUGUAUGAAGAAGGCCUUCGGGUGGUAAAGUACUUUCAGCGGGGAGGCGUUACCCGCAGAAGAAGCACCGGCUAACUCCGUGCCAGCAGCCGCGGUAAUAC